GACGAACGCUGGCGGCGUGCUUAACACAUGCAAGUCGAACGGAAAGGCCCUGCUUUUGUGGGGUGCUCGAGUGGCGAACGGGUGAGUAACACGUGAGUAACCUGCCCUUGACUUUGGGAUAACUUCAGGAAACUGGGGCUAAUACCGGAUAGGAGCUCCUGCUGCAUGGUGGGGGUUGGAAAGUUUCGGCGGUUGGGGAUGGACUCGCGGCUUAUCAGCUUGUUGGUGGGGUAGUGGCUUACCAAGGCUUUGACGGGUAGCCGGCCUGAGAGGGUGACCGGGCACAUUGGGACUGAGGUACGGCCCAGACUCCUACGGGAGGCAGCAGUGGGGAAUAUUGCACAAUGGGCGGAAGCCUGAUGCAGCAACGCCGCGUGCGGGAUGACGGCCUUCGGGUUGUAAACCGCUUUCGCCUGUGACGAAGCGUGAGUGACGGUAAUGGGUAAAGAAGCACCGGCUAACUACGUG
RNAcentral lists this ribosomal RNA (468 nucleotides) under uncultured bacterium. Its description in RNAcentral is "partial 16S ribosomal RNA". It matches the Rfam family "Bacterial small subunit ribosomal RNA", at positions 28 to 507 of the family's 1533-position model. The record is from RNAcentral.